This 447-nucleotide ribosomal RNA is filed under the name uncultured bacterium. RNAcentral describes it as "partial 16S ribosomal RNA". It matches the Rfam family "Bacterial small subunit ribosomal RNA", at positions 328 to 792 of the family's 1533-position model. The record is from RNAcentral.
UCGCCAGACUCCUACGGGAGGCAGCAGUGGGGAAUAUUGCACAAUGGGGGGAACCCUGAUGCAGCGACGCCGCGUGAGUGAAGAAGUAUUUCGGUAUGUAAAGCUCUAUCAGCAGGGACGAAGAUGACGGUACCUGCAGAAGAAGCCCCGGCUAACUACGUGCCAGCAGCCGCGGUAAUACGUAGGGGGCAAGCGUUAUCCGGAUUUACUGGGUGUAAAGGGAGCGUAGACGGCGGUGCAAGUCUGAAGUGAAAGGCGGGGGCCCAACCCCCGGACUGCUUUGGAAACUGUAUAGCUGGAGUGCAGGAGGGGUAAGUGGAAUUCCUAGUGUAGCGGUGAAAUGCGUAGAUAUUAGGAGGAACACCAGUGGCGAAGGCGGCUUACUGGACUGUAACUGACGUUGAGGCUCGAAAGCGUGGGGAGCAAACAGGAUUAGAUACCCUAGUA